GUGCCAGCCGCCGCGGUAAUACGUAGGGGGCAAGCGUUGUCCGGAAUCAUUGGGCGUAAAGCGCGUGUAGGCGGUUCGGUAAGUCUGCUGUGAAAGUCCAGGGCUCAACCCUGGGAUGCCGGUGGAUACUGUCGGACUAGAGUACGGAAGAGGCGAGUGGAAUUCCCGGUGUAGCGGUGAAAUGCGCAGAUAUCGGGAGGAACACCAAUUGCGAAGGCAGCUCGCUGGGACGUCACUGACGCUGAGACGCGAAAGCGUGGGGAGCAAACAGGAUUAGAUACCCUAGUAGUCC
This 292-nucleotide ribosomal RNA is filed under the name uncultured bacterium. RNAcentral's name for it is "partial 16S ribosomal RNA". It matches the Rfam family "Bacterial small subunit ribosomal RNA", at positions 505 to 796 of the family's 1533-position model. The record is from RNAcentral.